AUUGAACGCUGGCGGAAUGCUUUACACAUGCAAGUCGAACGGCAGCACGGGGGCGAACCCUGGUGGCGAGUGGCGAACGGGUGAGUAACACAUCGGAACGUGCCCAGUCGUGGGGGAUAACGUAGCGAAAGCUACGCUAAUACCGCAUACGAACUCUGGUUGAAAGCGGGGGACUCGCAAGGGCCUCGCGCGAUUGGAGCGGCCGAUGGCAGAUUAGGUAGUUGGUGGAGAAGGCCUACCAAGCCGACGAUCUGUAGCUGGUCUGAGAGGACGACCAGCCACACUGGGACUGAGACACGGCCCAGACUCCUACGGGAGGCAGCAGUGGGGUAAUUUUGGACAAUGGGCGCAAGCCUGAUCCAGCCAUUCCGCGUGCAGGAU
Molecule: ribosomal RNA, 381 nt
Filed under: uncultured bacterium
Lineage: Bacteria
Description: bacterial SSU rRNA
Rfam family: Bacterial small subunit ribosomal RNA
Source: RNAcentral